Molecule: ribosomal RNA, 647 nt
Filed under: uncultured Bacteroidales bacterium
Lineage: Bacteria; Pseudomonadati; Bacteroidota; Bacteroidia; Bacteroidales
Description: bacterial SSU rRNA
Rfam family: Bacterial small subunit ribosomal RNA
Source: RNAcentral
CACGGGUGAGUAACACGUAUCCAACCUGCCGUCUACUCUUGGACAGCCUUCUGAAAGGAAGAUUAAUACAAGAUGGCAUCAUGAGUCCGCAUGUUCACAUGAUUAAAGGUAUUCCGGUAGACGAUGGGGAUGCGUUCCAUUAGAUAGUAGGCGGGGUAACGGCCCACCUAGUCUUCGAUGGAUAGGGGUUCUGAGAGGAAGGUCCCCCACAUUGGAACUGAGACACGGUCCAAACUCCUACGGGAGGCAGCAGUGAGGAAUAUUGGUCAAUGGGCGCAGGCCUGAACCAGCCAAGUAGCGUGAAGGAUGACUGCCCUAUGGGUUGUAAACUUCUUUUAUAAAGGAAUAAAGUCGGGUAUGGAUACCCGUUUGCAUGUACUUUAUGAAUAAGGAUCGGCUAACUCCGUGCCAGCAGCCGCGGUAAUACGGAGGAUCCGAGCGUUAUCCGGAUUUAUUGGGUUUAAAGGGAGCGUAGAUGGAUGUUUAAGUCAGUUGUGAAAGUUUGCGGCUCAACCGUAAAAUUGCAGUUGAUACUGGAUAUCUUGAGUGCAGUUGAGGCAGGCGGAAUUCGUGGUGUAGCGGUGAAAUGCUUAGAUAUCACGAAGAACUCCGAUUGCGAAGGCAGCCUGCUAAGCUGCAACUGACAU